This is a non-coding RNA of Aeribacillus pallidus, 39 nucleotides long. Lineage: Bacteria; Bacillati; Bacillota; Bacilli; Caryophanales; Bacillaceae. The record is from Rfam.
UCCGUGGUGACGCGGAAUCUGAAGGAAGCUGGAGGCAAA